This 497-nucleotide ribosomal RNA is filed under the name uncultured bacterium. RNAcentral describes it as "partial 16S ribosomal RNA". It matches the Rfam family "Bacterial small subunit ribosomal RNA", at positions 28 to 507 of the family's 1533-position model. The record is from RNAcentral.
GACGAACGCUGGCGGCGUGCCUAAUACAUGCAAGUAGAACGCUGAAGAGAGGAGCUUGCUCUUCUUGGAUGAGUUGCGAACGGGUGAGUAACGCGUAGGUAACCUGCCUUGUAGCGGGGGAUCACUAUUGGAAACGAUAGCUAAUACCGCAUAACAAUGGAUGACACAUGUCAUUUAUUUGAAAGGGGCAAUUGCUCCACUACAAGAUGGACCUGCGUUGUAUUAGCUAGUAGGUGAGGUAAUGGCUCACCUAGGCGACGAUACAUAGCCGACCUGAGAGGGUGAGCGGCCACACUGGGACGGAGACACGGCCCAUACUCCUACGGGAGGCAGCAGUAGGGAAUCGUCGGGAAUGGGGGCAACACUGACCGAGCAACGCCGCGUGAGUGAAGAAGGUUGUCGGAUCGUAAAGCUCUGUUGUAAGUCAAGAACGGGUGUGAGAGUGGAAAGUUCACACUGUGACGGUAGCUGACCAGAAAGGGACGGCUAACUACGUG